UAGAGUUUGAUCAUGGCUCAGAACGAACGCUGGCGGCAGGCCUAACACAUGCAAGUCGAGCGCGCCCUUCGGGGUGAGCGGCGGACGGGUUAGUAACGCGUGGGAACGUGCCCUUUUCUAAGGAAUAGCCACUGGAAACGGUGAGUAAUACCUUAUACGCCCUUCGGGGGAAAGAUUUAUCGGAGAAGGAUCGGCCCGCGUUAGAUUAGGUAGUUGGUGGGGUAAUGGCCUACCAAGCCUACGAUCUAUAGCUGGUUUGAGAGGAUGAUCAGCAACACUGGGACUGAGACACGGCCCAGACUUCUACGGAAGGCAGCAGUGGGGAAUCUUGGACAAUGGGCGCAAGCCUGAUCCAGCCAUGCCGCGUGAGUGAUGAAGGCCUUAGGGUCGUAAAGCUCUUUCGCCUGUGAAGAUAAUGACGGUAGCAGGUAAAGAAACCCCGGCUAACUCCGUGCCAGCAGCCGCGGUAAUACGGAGGGGGUUAGCGUUGUUCGGAAUUACUGGGCGUAAAGCGCGCGUAGGCGGACUAUUAAGUCAGGGGUGAAAUCCCGGGGCUCAACCCCGGAACUGCCCUUGAUACUGGUAGUCUUGAGUUCGAGAGAGGUGAGUGGAAUUCCGAGUGUAGAGGUGAAAUUCGUAGAUAUUCGGA
This 649-nucleotide ribosomal RNA is filed under the name uncultured bacterium. Its description in RNAcentral is "bacterial SSU rRNA". It matches the Rfam family "Bacterial small subunit ribosomal RNA", at positions 1 to 702 of the family's 1533-position model. The record is from RNAcentral.